CUCUUCUCCCUCCAUCCAUUCCCACUGCCUGGCCCCAUCUGUCUCCUCUCCGUUGCGCUGUGUGUCUGUCUUUUCUGUCUCUCUGGAUCGGUGUCUUCCUGCAUCCAUGUCUGUCUGUCACUCUGCAUGUCCGUCUCUUUCUUGCUCUGUCUCUGUCUCAUUCUGCCCAUCCACUCUGGCAUCUGUGGGUCUUCACGUCGCUAUCACCCUGGGGGUCUUUGUCUCUUUGUGCUGGGUCUUUUUGCUCUUCUCUCUCUCUCUCGUCUCUGCCUCUCUGUGUCUCUGUCUUCCCUGAGGGUGUGUGUGUGUGUGUGUGUCUGUCUGUCCAUCCACUAGCUCUCAGGCAACUGAAAAUACCCCCUGCAUCCCAUUUGAUGUGCAGUUGUGAGAUUCCCUUUGAAUAUUGCAGCAGCGAGUUGACGGUUGCCAAGGGAACAGGUGGGCUUAGAAGAAGCAGAUGCCCUGAUUCCAGCCAUGGAGACCUGAGGUUGCCUCUGCAAUGCCUGGAAUUUUGGCAGCCAUCUUGGGAUCAUGAGAAAAGUCAGCCUGAAGGAAACGUGCUGAGAAGGACAAAGGAGAAAGGUGGGAGGUUCUGGGACCUGUGGCUUCUCCUAUCAUCCUACUGGGGAGGGUGAUAAAGUCUCUUAGCUAAGCCAUGUUAAUUUGGGUUUUCGGCUGCUUGCAGCCAAAAAUUUAGCCCAACUGACAUGCAGACGGAGGAUGACGAGCCAAUACCCAGCCUCUCUGUCUGCAACACUCCUUGUCCUCCUGCAACUCACCUCUUUUCACUUCUCCUCUGAAAAGCCUGGCGUUUUCUUCUAUCCUACUUUCUGCAGGCGAAGGGCCUGAAAGUGGCUGUGGGAAGCUUCUUUGGUCUAUUCCCUCUCCUGAGAGUCCACGAAAUGUGAGAUGGGGGUCACUUCUCAGCUGAGUGUGCCCCCCAGUGACUGCUGGGCUCCAGCUUCUCCUGCAUGCAGCAAGGCUUGGAAGCCCCUCAGCCCCGCCACACUCUACUCACCUUCAUCCAGUGCAGCUACACAGGGCAUGGUCCAGCCACAAGCUCAUCUGUUCCAGACACCACCCGAGGCCCCUCAAUCUGACCACAUCUAGAUCAGAGGCUGCCAAGGAGGCUCAAGACUGCAUAGACUUGAAUGGCAGGGGACAAGCUCAGGAUGGCCUGAGACCUGAUUUUAUUUUUUAUGGGACUAUGUAGUGUACAAUGUGAUGUUUUGAUAUAAGUAUGCAUUUUGAAAUGAUUACAUUGGGCCAAUUAAGUUUUUGAUCACUUCACAUACUUAUCAUUUUGGGGGGGUGCUGAGUGCAUUUAGGAUCUACUUUCAGUAAUUUUCAAGUGUACAUACAUUAUUAUUAACUAAUAAUGCACCUUAUAUACCAUUCCAUAAAAUAGAUCUCCAGAACUUAUUUAUCCUGUCUCUUUGACCAACAUCUCCCUAUCCUCCUCAUCCCCUAGUCCCUAGCAAUGACCAUUGUUCUCUCUGCUUCUAUAAGGUCAACUUUUUAGAUUCCACAUAUAAGUGAGGUCAUGUAGUAUUUGUUUUUCUGUUACUGACUUAUUUCACUUAGCGCGAUGUCCUCCAGGUUCAUCUAUGGCAGGAUUUUCUUCUUUUUUAGGUCCGCAUUGUACCAUGUGUCUAUUUUCCAUGUUUUCUUUAUCCAUUCAUCUGUUGAUGGAUACUUAGGUUGAUUUCAUAUCUUGGCUAUUGUGAACAAUGCUACAAUGAAUGAGGGUAGAUAUCUCUUCACCAUAUUGAUUUCACUUCCUUUGGGCAUAUACCUGGAAAUGAGAUUGUCGGAUCAAAUAGUAGUUCUAUUCUUAGUUUUCGAGAAAACUCUAAACUAUUUUCAAUAAUGGCUGUACUAAUUCACUGUUGUUCAUCAACAGUGUACAAGGGUUCCCUUUUCUCCAUAUCAUUGCUAGUACCUGUUAUCUUUUAUCUUUUUUAUAAUAGCCGUUCUAACAGGUGUGAGAUGAUAUCUCAUCUUAGUUGUCAUUUGCAUUUUCCUGAUUAGUGAUGUUGAGUACUUUUCAUACACCUCUUGACCAUUUUUAUGUCCCUUUUGAGAAAUGCCUAUUCAGAUCCUUCAGCCACUUUUAAAUCAAGCUAUUAGUUUUCUUGUUAUUGAGUUAUUUGAAUUCCUUAUGUAUUUUGGAUAUUAAUUCAUUAUCAGAUAUAGAGUUUGCAAAUAUUUUCUCCUAUUCCAUAGCUUGCCUCUUCACUCUGUUGAUUGUUUCCUUUCCUGUGCAGAAGCUAUUAAGUUCAAUGCAAUUUCUUUGAUCUAUUUUACUUAUGUUUUCUGUGCCAUUGGGGCCAUAUCCAAAAAAAUCCUUUUCCAGACCAGGACCCUGGAGCUUUCCCCCUGUUUUCUUCUAGUAGUUUUACAGUUUCAGAUCUUACAUUAAGUUUUUGAUUCAUCUUAAAUUGAUUUUUGUAUGUGGUAUGAGAUGAGGGUCUAAUUUUAUUCUUUUGCAUAUGGAUUUCACAGCAUCAUUUAUUGAAGAAACUGUUCAUUCUCUAUUUUAUGUUCUUGGCAACUUUGUCAAAGAUCAAUUGACCACAAAUGCAUGAAGUUAUGUCUGGGAUCUUUAUUCUUUCCAUUGGCAUCUGUAUCUCUUUUUAUGCCACUAACAUGCUGUUUUGAUUACUAUAGCUUUUUAGUAUAUUUUGAAAUCAGGUGCUGUGAUGUUUCCAGCUUUGUUUUUAUUCCCUCAAGAUUGUUUUGGCUCUUUCGGGUCCAUACAAAUUUUAAGAUUUUUCUUUCCCUUUCUGUGAAAAAUGACACUGGGAUCCUUGCAGGGAUUGAAUUGAAUCUGUAGAUUGCUUGGGUAGUUUGGACAUUUUAACAAUAUUAAUUUUUCCAAAGCAUGGACCAACUAUCCUUCCAUUUAUUCAUGUC
Molecule: long non-coding RNA, 2916 nt
Organism: Callithrix jacchus (white-tufted-ear marmoset)
Lineage: Eukaryota; Metazoa; Chordata; Mammalia; Primates; Cebidae
Source: Ensembl